GGCUGGAUAGCUCAGUUGGUAGAGCACCGGUAUGGCACCGGAGGUCGCAGGUCCAAAUCCCGCUCCAGUCA
RNAcentral lists this transfer RNA (71 nucleotides) under Acanthaster planci (crown-of-thorns starfish). Its description in RNAcentral is "tRNA-Pro". It matches the Rfam family "tRNA". Rfam says of the family: Transfer RNA (tRNA) molecules are approximately 80 nucleotides in length. Their secondary structure includes four short double-helical elements and three loops (D, anti-codon, and T loops). Further hydrogen bonds mediate the characteristic L-shaped molecular structure. tRNAs have two regions of fundamental functional importance: the anti-codon, which is responsible for specific mRNA codon recognition, and the 3' end, to which the tRNAs corresponding amino acid is attached (by aminoacyl-tRNA synthetases). tRNAs cope with the degeneracy of the genetic code in two manners: having more than one tRNA (with a specific anti-codon) for a particular amino acid; and 'wobble' base-pairing, i.e. permitting non-standard base-pairing at the 3rd anti-codon position. The record is from Rfam by way of RNAcentral. Lineage: Eukaryota; Metazoa; Echinodermata; Asteroidea; Valvatida; Acanthasteridae.